This 239-nucleotide ribosomal RNA is filed under the name Oenococcus oeni. RNAcentral describes it as "partial 23S ribosomal RNA". It matches the Rfam family "Bacterial large subunit ribosomal RNA", at positions 2686 to 2925 of the family's 2925-position model. Lineage: Bacteria; Bacillati; Bacillota; Bacilli; Lactobacillales; Lactobacillaceae. The record is from RNAcentral.
AGAGGACCGGGAUGGACAUACCUCUGGUGUACCAGUUGUUCUGCCAAGAGCACCGCUGGGUAGCUACGUAUGGAUUAGAUAAUCGCUGAAAGCAUCUAAGUGAGAAACUAACCUCGAGAUGAGAUUUCCCAUUCGUCAGAAGUAAGACCCCUGAGAGACGAUCAGGUAGAUAGGCUAGAAGUGGAAGUGUAGUGAUGCAUGGAGCGGACUAGUACUAAUAGGUCGAGGACUUAACCAAG